This 3214-nucleotide unclassified non-coding RNA is filed under the name Harpegnathos saltator (Jerdon's jumping ant). RNAcentral describes it as "uncharacterized LOC112588645, transcript variant X1". Lineage: Eukaryota; Metazoa; Arthropoda; Insecta; Hymenoptera; Formicidae. The record is from RNAcentral.
ACUUGCUGUUCUUUUUCGAAGUGCAGUUGUCCUAGGUCUGAAAUAGUUCUGAAUUCGCUGCCCCAGGUCUUUAGACAGUACAAGAGUUCAGCCAUAAAAUUCUAGCGGAAAUUUCAAAUGAAAAGUCUGCCGUACUACGCAUUUUGAUGAAGAAUAAGAAAGAAGAACGAGAAAUUAUGGGUAUAUGCAUAGAAACAAUAACACGAUGGCAGAAAAUCAAAAGGACAACAUUGGACAUAUUUCUAAGGAUGACAUCGGUAAUAUAAUUAUCAACAAAGAGGGAUGUGUCACAUGCACUUGUGGAGAUCUGAUAUUUCAACUGCCUUACAGUGAAAUUAAUUUUACAUGCGAUACACUACAAUGUACGGUUGCAGACAAAACAAUAUUUAUAGAAUUGCAUGAAAAUGCAAGAAAUAUACCUUUGAAUAAUAAUAUAGCUCAAAAACCAUCUCAAGAAUAUAAUAGAAAAGAAAUAUUUUCAUAGAACGACGCAAGAACUAAGUUAUUUUUAACUUUAUAUAAAGAACACAAAGAACUAUUGGCAACUAAACAUAAAUUAUUAUGGCAAAAAAUUGCUGAACUUAUGCAAUCACAUGGAUAUAACACAACAGUUUCUCAAGUGGAAAAUAAAUUUAAAUCACUUGAAAGAUCCUACAAAAACAUGAUUACAAAUAAUAAACAAACUGGUAGAGGACGCGUAUCAUGCACAUAUGAAACAGAAUUGACUGAACUAUUGGGAUAUAAGCAUAAUAUUGAACCCUAGCGGUAACAGGCAGGCAAGGUUUAAUUUUAAGAGAAGAAAUACGAGCGAAUACAUUCACACAAGGAUACGCACUAUCUCCCAACAGGUGAUAAUUAUCUGAAAAAGUUCAUGCAAAUCAUUGCGUAUUGGUGAAUUUUUAAAUACUCUUGCAUCGUGCACCGAACCAGGAUAUCCAAUAAAUACAUCCAUAAAUUUCAUAUGAUGGUUAACUGUUCCCUGAAUAUGUAAAGAAAAACAUUGCUUCCGAUUAAUAUAUGAUUCAGGAUCUUCUGUUGGCUUAUCUAUUCUAAUGUGGGAACCAUCAAUAGCGCCUAAAACAAAUAUCAACAAUCCCAAAAAAUGAAGAAAUGCGAAAAAAAUGGUUUCACGUUAUUGGCUGUGAUGUAUUUUACAAAGGAGCAAAAAUAUGCAGUGACCACUUUACAAAAAAUGACUAUCAUGAAAUGAAUGAAUAUAAACAAAAUAAAAUAUUGAGAAAGACUGCAGUUCCAUUAAUUUUCGCGGAAGAAAAUUGUAAACAUGUGGAGGAGGAUACAGAUACCAAUUUAAGCACAGAUAUAAAUACAAAUAUAGCAGAAAAUAAUGACAUAGACAAUGAAAGAAAUAGUGAAAAUACGAGUAAGAAUUCCAUUACGGACACAGAUGCAGAUAUACAUACACAUGUAGCAGAAGAUGUUAAUAACAUAAACAUCCAUAGCAACCACAGUAAUAAUCACAUUAGAAAAAGGAAAUUGUCGCAAGAGAAUUUUAGAAACUCAAAAAUUAAAAAAAUAUUUGUAAACACUUCUAAACAUGCUACAAAAUGCUUCUGUAAAACAGAUUUUGUGUCUGAUGCAAAAUGGGAGCAGUUUGUAAGAUAUGCGUCAUAUAUUCGAAAUGAAACAAAAAAUAUGUGGCAAAAGAAACACCGUAUGCAGAAGAAAGUUUUAACUUAUAAAGAUUUGCUUCAGGACCUGAAAAGUAAAAACUUUAUAACAAAUAAUGGUAUACAUGCAAUCAAAGUAAGUUGAGUUUAGCUAUUUUCCAUUCGCAGAAAGAUUUGAAAUUCACAUUGUCCACAAUGUUUAUUCUUUUAUAAGAAAGUUCAUGAUAACUCUCCAAUCACAAUGUGACUUCAUCAUAAUAUUGACUCUUAUAGAAAGGUCCAUGAUAAUGAAACAAAUGGUAGAACAAUACUUGAUUUCUACAUCAUGUUAAAAAUAUGGUAUAACAAAUGUUGUGCGUAUACAUAUACCCUCUCAAUCUACAAAUGCACUAAUGAUGUUAUAUCUUCGUUCUAAAUAAGUUAUUAUGUAUAUGUCUAUGCGUACAACCAUUUGUCUCCUUGAUUUCUUCUGUUUUUAUAUCUAUAUUUUGUACUUCCUUUUUCUUUAUUUAGGAUAUAUUGUCACCUGUUAUGCAACAGUUGCUACUUACAAUGUUAAAUAAGAAGCGAAAGAAGUCGUUCCCCGAAAGUUUAAAAAGUUUUGCAUGCACGUUACAUUUUCAUUCGCCUGCAGCAUAUUUGUAUGUAAGAAAAAUGUUUUUACCUCACCCCAGUACACUGCGCAUGUGGACGCAGACAAUUCGUAGUAAUUCCGGUAUAUCUGAACAAUCGUUUAAAACUAUACUCGAUAAGGUGCAAAAUGCUAGAGAGAAAGGAAAAAACUUAGUUUUCAAUAUAACUUUUGAUGAAAUGAAUAUUAAGAAAAAAGUUGAUUGGGACGGCAAAGAAUUACACGGUUUUAUUGAAACGGGUAUUAAAGAUAGUAAGUCUGACAGUCUGCCAUUUGCUACCCAUAUCCUUCUUUUUAUGUUAGUGUGCAUAAAUGAUCAUUUUAAAAUCCCAAUUGCAUUUUACGUUAUCGAGGCAUUAAAUGGUAAGGAAAAAGCAAAUUUGUUAAAUAACAUUUUAAGUAUUCUCCAUGAAAAAGCAAUUUACGUUGUUAGUAUUACAUUUGAUAGAGCAACUUCUAAUAUUGCAAUGUGCGAGAUACUAGGCGCACAGUUAAAACACGUCAAUUUUGAACAUAUUGUUCCGUAUUUUAAGCAUCCUAUUGACAAAUCUAAAAAUAUUUAUAUUUUUUAUGAUGCAUGUCACAUGUUGAAGCUUGUGAGGAAUGCAAUUAGUAAAGGGGUUAUUAAAGAUAAAGACAAAAAUGUAAUAAGUUGGAACUUUCUGAAAAAAUUAGUAAAUGUGCAAACUGUGGAAAAAUUACAUGUUGCCAAUAAAAUGCGAAAAAGACAUAUACAGUUUUUUAAUGAAAAGAUGAAAGUUAAUCUAGCAGCAUAAACAUUAAGUAAUUCUGUGGCUGAUGCAUUGAUGUUUUUAGAAUAUGAAUUAAAAGAAUCAAGAUUUAUAGGAGCUUCAACUACUGCAACAUUUUAUAAAACUUUCAAUGACAUAUUUGAUAUCUUAAAUUCACGUAACAUAUACAAUAAAACUGAAAAUAAACAUGCAAUAACAAGAAA